ACGGAAGGCAGCAGUGGGGAAUAUUGCACAAUGGGGGAAACCCUGAUGCAGCGACGCCGCGUGAGUGAAGAAGUAUUUCGGUAUGUAAAGCUCUAUCAGCAGGGAAGAAAAUGACGGUACCUGACUAAGAAGCCCCGGCUAACUACGUGCCAGCAGCCGCGGUAAUACGUAGGGGGCAAGCGUUAUCCGGAUUUACUGGGUGUAAAGGGAGCGUAGACGGUUCUGCAAGUCUGAUGUGAAAGGCAGGGGCUCAACUCCUGGACUGCAUUGGAAACUGUAGAACUAGAGUGCCGGAGAGGUAAGCGGAAUUCCUAGUGUAGCGGUGAAAUGCGUAGAUAUUAGGAGGAACACCAGUGGCGAAGGCGGCUUACUGGGCGGUAACUGACGUUGAGGCUCGAAAGCGUGGGGAGCAAACAGGAUUAGAUACCCUGGUA
RNAcentral lists this ribosomal RNA (434 nucleotides) under uncultured Lachnospiraceae bacterium. RNAcentral's name for it is "partial 16S ribosomal RNA". It matches the Rfam family "Bacterial small subunit ribosomal RNA", at positions 341 to 792 of the family's 1533-position model. Lineage: Bacteria; Bacillati; Bacillota; Clostridia; Lachnospirales; Lachnospiraceae. The record is from RNAcentral.